Molecule: long non-coding RNA, 542 nt
Filed under: Heterocephalus glaber (naked mole-rat)
Lineage: Eukaryota; Metazoa; Chordata; Mammalia; Rodentia; Bathyergidae
Description: lncRNA (ENSHGLG00100030192.2)
Source: RNAcentral
GAGUGUCAAAUGGAAGGAACAGUGGGCUCAGAUAAUGGUUUCCUGCUGCUCAAGGGAGCAGCUGCAGAGACGCAGAGUCUGCUCACAGCAACACAGGGAUGCUGUCUCAGGGAGUGAUGAGAUUGUACCUUUCAUCACAGGAGGGCAGCACAUUUCCUGAACAUGGGCUCCUGCUUCUCACUGAGUUCCUGAGACAGAUGUCACCAUCAGAGAAAUGCCAGGAAGGAACUGGAAUGCGUCACCCACCAAGUUUAGUGGCAGCCCUAUUGCCCAGGGACAAUGCCCACCACUCAGCCAAGAACACCUGAAGAUCCUAGUGACAGUCAUCCAGUUUGGUCCCUGACUGGUAGCAGGGAGGCUCAAGAUGACAGAAGCAGAAAAGAAGGCAGUGACUUUCCAUGGAGUGUCUAAAAUGCAUGUGACAUGCAUAAAAGCUGGGUUUGGAUGAGUGUGCUGAAAGAUGCAGAGCAUCACACCUGGCCAGAAUAAAUCUCUAUUUACUAUGGACUGGAAAGGACCAAAAGCGCUGUUCAUUCUGGAAG